Molecule: ribosomal RNA, 412 nt
Filed under: Corynebacterium ciconiae
Lineage: Bacteria; Bacillati; Actinomycetota; Actinomycetes; Mycobacteriales; Corynebacteriaceae
Description: bacterial SSU rRNA
Rfam family: Bacterial small subunit ribosomal RNA
Source: RNAcentral
CACAAGCGGCGGAGCAUGUGGAUUAAUUCGAUGCAACGCGAAGAACCUUACCUGGGCUUGACAUGGACAGGAUCGGCGCAGAGAUGUGUUUUCCUUUUUGGCUUGUUCACAGGUGGUGCAUGGUUGUCGUCAGCUCGUGUCGUGAGAUGUUGGGUUAAGUCCCGCAACGAGCGCAACCCUUGUCUUAUGUUGCCAGCACGUGAUGGUGGGGACUCAUGAGAGACUGCCGGGGUUAACUCGGAGGAAGGUGGGGAUGACGUCAAAUCAUCAUGCCCCUUAUGUCCAGGGCUUCACACAUGCUACAAUGGUUGAUACAACGCGAUGCGAGCCUGUGAGGGUGAGCGGAUCGCUUGAAAGUCAGUCUUAGUUCGGAUUGGGGUCUGCAACUCGACCCCAUGAAGUCGGAGUCGCU